UACGUAGGGUCCGAGCGUUGUCCGGAAUUAUUGGGCGUAAAGAGCUCGUAGGCGGUGUGUCGCGUCGGCCGUGAAAACCUGCAGCUUAACUGUGGGCUUGCGGUCGAUACGGGCAUGACUGGAGUUCGGCAGGGGAGACUGGAAUUCCUGGUGUAGCGGUGAAAUGCGCAGAUAUCAGGAGGAACACCGGUGGCGAAGGCGGGUCUCGUGGGCCGAUACUGACGCUGAGGAGCGAAAGCGUGGGGAUCAAACAGG
RNAcentral lists this ribosomal RNA (255 nucleotides) under uncultured bacterium. RNAcentral describes it as "partial 16S ribosomal RNA". It matches the Rfam family "Bacterial small subunit ribosomal RNA", at positions 524 to 776 of the family's 1533-position model. The record is from RNAcentral.